RNAcentral lists this ribosomal RNA (608 nucleotides) under uncultured bacterium. Its description in RNAcentral is "bacterial SSU rRNA". The stretch from base 1 to 516 matches the Rfam family "Bacterial small subunit ribosomal RNA", at positions 338 to 873 of the family's 1533-position model. The record is from RNAcentral.
CCUACGGGAGGCAGCAGUGAGGAAUUUUCCGCAAUGGGCGAAAGCCUGACGGAGCAAUACCGCGUGAGGGAUGAAGGAUUUUGGUCUGUAAACCUCUUUUCUCAAGAAGGAAGUUCUGACGGUACUUGAGGAAUAAGCAUCGGCUAACUCCGUGCCAGCAGCCGCGGUAAUACGGGGGAUGCAAGCGUUAUCCGGAAUGAUUGGGCGUAAAGCGCCUGUAGGUUGUUUAUUAAGUCCGUUGUUAAAGCCUAGGGCUUAACCCUAGAAAAGCAAUGGAAACUAGUAGACUAGAGUAUGGCAGGGGUAGAGGGAAUUUCUAGUGUAGCGGUGAAAUGCGUAGAUAUUAGAAAGAACACCGGUGGCGAAAGCGCUCUACUGGACCAUUACUGACACUCAGAGGCGAAAGCUAGGGUAGCAAAAGGGAUUAGAUACCCCUGUAGUCCUAGCCGUAAACGAUGGAUACUAGAUGUUGUGCAUUAUGUACAGUAUCGUAGCUAACGCGUUAAGUAUCCCGCCUGGGGUAGGUACGCGUCGCGAGGUAGGUAAACGUUAAAGGUAAAGUUAGUACGGACGUGAGACGUGCCGACGGACGACGACGAGGGAGGAGG